This 349-nucleotide ribosomal RNA is filed under the name uncultured bacterium. Its description in RNAcentral is "partial 16S ribosomal RNA". It matches the Rfam family "Bacterial small subunit ribosomal RNA", at positions 338 to 684 of the family's 1533-position model. The record is from RNAcentral.
CCUACGGGUGGCAGCAGUGAGGAAUAUUGGUCAAUGGACGAGAGUCUGAACCAGCCAAGUAGCGUGAUGGAUGACUGCCCUAUGGGUUGUAAACUUCUUUUAUAGGGGAAUAAAAUGGUCCACGUGUGGGAUGUUGUAUGUACCAUAUGAAUAAGGAUCGGCUAACUCCGUGCCAGCAGCCGCGGUAAUACGGAGGAACCGAGCGUUAUCCGGAUUUAUUGGGGUUAAAGGGAGCGUAGGUGGCUGGUUAAGUCAGUGGGGAAAGUUUGCGGCUCAACCGUAAAAUUGCAGUUGAAACUGGCAGUCUUGUGUACAGUAGAGGUGGGCGGAUUUCGUGUUGUCGCGGUGA